RNAcentral lists this ribosomal RNA (468 nucleotides) under uncultured bacterium. Its description in RNAcentral is "partial 16S ribosomal RNA". It matches the Rfam family "Bacterial small subunit ribosomal RNA", at positions 28 to 507 of the family's 1533-position model. The record is from RNAcentral.
GACGAACGCUGGCGGCGUGCUUAACACAUGCAAGUCGAACGGAAAGGCCCUGCUUGUGUGGGGUGCUCGAGUGGCGAACGGGUGAGUAACACGUGAGUAACCUGCCCUUGACUUUGGGAUAACUUCAGGAAACUGGGGCUAAUACCGGAUAGGAGCUCCUGCUGCAUGGGGGGGGUUGGAAAGUUUCGGCGGUUGGGGAUGGACUCGCGGCUUAUCAGCUUGUUGGUGGGGUAGUGGCUUACCAAGGCUUUGACGGGUAGCCGGCCUGAGAGGGUGACCGGCCACAUUGGGACUGAGAUACGGCCCAGACUCCUACGGGAGGCAGCAGUGGGGAAUAUUGCACAAUGGGCGGAAGCCUGAUGCAGCAACGCCGCGUGCGGGAUGACGGCCUUCGGGUUGUAAACCGCUUUCGCCUGUGACGAAGCGUGAGUGACGGUACUGGGUAAAGAAGCACCGGCUAACUACGUG